UUAUAGAGAGAGCCAACGAGCCUUAAUUACUACACUAAGUACUAAAUUACAAGCGUUCUUGCUUCCAUUCUUGACUGAACGCCUACCACACAAAAGUACGUGAGCCCAACCCAUGCACUACAUAUUUUUCUAACUACGUGUCUGAUCAAGUAGAUUUAGCACUUGACCGGCCCAACAACUAUACUGGUCGGCCAUUACAGAUAAAAUCACGACCGUUCUGAAUGUGUCGAUCAUAUCCUGUAAUCUCCUAGAAACCAUACAUAGAACUCCAAGUGCAGUGUGAACACUUGCUUUGAUUCAAGGCCUUUGGGGCUUCUUCUGUCAAGGAGACAGACUCGGAAUUUGGAACAUAGGUGGCGCUGAUUUGUAGCGAUGUGUCGUUGCCGUCUGCAGGACAGCUUCUGUGGCUGCUGUACUCUCCGCCAUGGCUCAGUAUUUGUAGGGAUCGUCCAUCUGAUCAUCUCUAUGUUAGGUGGCCUGGCAGCGUUCUCCUUGUAUGGCGUUAUAUUUAAAGCAGGUAAAGGUAUUC
This is a long non-coding RNA of Branchiostoma floridae (Florida lancelet), 529 nucleotides long. RefSeq lists it as uncharacterized. The transcript is spliced from 3 exons. NCBI's taxonomy places the organism in Eukaryota, Metazoa, Chordata, Leptocardii, Amphioxiformes, Branchiostomatidae. The record is from RefSeq and is a predicted model, not a curated record.